This 74-nucleotide transfer RNA is filed under the name Actinobacteria bacterium IMCC26207. It matches the Rfam family "tRNA". Rfam says of the family: Transfer RNA (tRNA) molecules are approximately 80 nucleotides in length. Their secondary structure includes four short double-helical elements and three loops (D, anti-codon, and T loops). Lineage: Bacteria; Bacillati; Actinomycetota; Actinomycetes. RNAcentral also lists the same sequence under 3 other names. The record is from Rfam by way of RNAcentral.
GGGCGCGUAGCUCAGUUGGUUAGAGCACCUGGUUUACAUCCAGGGUGUCGGGGGUUCGAUUCCCUCCGCGCCCA